AAAUUUCAUUUUACUAGGUCAAGUGAUUAUUUUGUUUUUUGCAUUACAAAUCAUAAUAAGUCUUGACAAAUCCAAACUAGAUGUGAUUGUCAUAGCCUUUCAUUUAUUUUGAUUUAUUUCACCUGCUGUCUCAAAAAGUUUAUAAUGUAAAAAAAAAACAAUUGAGGUCAUAUGAAAGCCACCAAGCAUUUGAAACAAAGGAAGGGCUGCUUACGUGACACUGACUUCCAUUAAUUACCAAAACUUCUUGCUGCAGUUCCUAAACUUUGUUACAUGACUGGCAUUACAGUAGUAAAUCACUAAAAUUGGAAGCACUUACAAUAUACAAUCGUGCCUAAAACAAUGAUGAACCUUAGGGCUACUACAGAAGGAAAAAAGUGCAGUGUGUGGACACUACGGUUUCUUUAAAACGAAACAGACCCAUCCAUCACAACGCUAUACCAUCCUGCAAUAGGACCAUCCAUUAGCCAUACACCAAAACCAACCUACAAUGCCAUGUAACAAGCAAGUUAGCAUUUUAAACCAAAUCACCACCAUAUUUAUUUAAGUUAAGAUGUUAACCAUUAUGACCUUAUCGUAAUGGGUAGCAGCAGGAUAAUAAAUUAACUCCUCCAACAAAGUUAACCAAAUCAACAAUUAAUACAGACAUACCAAUUGGCUUAUUUCAAUUUCGAAACUUAAGAGUCGCUCGCAUAAGUUGACACUAGGUGGUUAUCCUAUUUGUUUCCAAAUAUCAUCACUAAUCAAUUAGUUUUAAAAUUCAAUCCCAACACAACUGAGUUAACUUUAAAUCCAAUUGUCUUUUUUACUAAAAGCUCCAUCAUAUACCAGUAACUUAAAACAUUCUCAACUAAGAUGACUCGAGCCAUUUCCUUCACAUUUCACCCAACUAAUCUUCAUACUGACAUUCUGUUGCAAUUACCAAACAAAAUGAAAACCAAUUUCACAAAAUAACCGCCCUAACC
Molecule: long non-coding RNA, 965 nt
Filed under: Lathyrus oleraceus (garden pea)
Lineage: Eukaryota; Viridiplantae; Streptophyta; Magnoliopsida; Fabales; Fabaceae
Description: Pisum sativum (pea) long non-coding RNA (PSAT_LNC003014)
Source: RNAcentral